Long non-coding RNA from Vicia villosa (hairy vetch), 1257 nucleotides. RefSeq lists it as uncharacterized. Lineage: Eukaryota; Viridiplantae; Streptophyta; Magnoliopsida; Fabales; Fabaceae. The transcript has 4 exons. The record is from RefSeq and is a predicted model, not a curated record.
UUAGGUUUUAAUUGAUGAUUGCUUAUGUGUGUUUUAAUUUGUUUAUGUGUGUUUUAAUUUAUGUGUUUAUUUUCUGUAAGCAAUAAGUUUACCAGAAGUUGAAUCUUGUUGAUGGUGGUCACUAACCUACUAUGAGUAUUUAGUACGGUUCUGCACUCUCCUCUCUUGUAUCUCUUCCUUUCCUGUGGAAUUUUUGCUUUGCUAAUAAUUCAUCCGUGUAUCUGUAACAUAUUUCUUGUUGGAGUUUAUUCUGUAUAGUAGAUCUUUUCAUGUUAUGUAGCUGAAAGAAUUGAACCAAUUAAUUAGAAGUAAAAACAAACAAAUAUACAAUUUUGGAUACUUACUUUAGUAUUUAUUUAUGAAAUUACUAUUUUUCUUUUUGUUCAACACUUGUUUCAGUUUGACAUGCCAAAGUGCUAAACUAAAUUCUAAUGCAUGUAGCUAAAGUGCUAAACCAACAAAACAUGUCACAAUCACAAGUUAAUUACCAGCCAGGAAUCCCAAUUCAUGAAUAUGGUAGUCCAAAACUUAACUUCAUAUGUAGUAAAUCAUCGUGGUUGAGCACUUGAGCUGAUAAAAUAAACACAUUACAAAAGAGAGGGAUAAUAUGAAAGUAAACUUAUUGCUUAGCUCUGAGUUCUUAAACCUCUAAAAGGACCCUCUCAGAAUUUAUUCAUAAGUUGCUUCUGUUUAUGUUUUUGUGAUUGAUUGCGACUGUUUUAUAUACAAGGUGCUGAAAAUAUUCGAGGAGCUGAAAAUAUGCAAGGACAUAGAGAUAUGCAAGGAGUUGAAAAUGUGUCAAAUAAUUGAAUUGUGGUUUUUGAAUAGCCACAGACUUAUUAAUUUUGGAUCUUGCAAAGCCUAUGGUAAAUGGUAUUUUGGAUCUUGCAGAGUCUGUUAAAGUGGGAAAUGGUAUUUUGGAAGAAGCAAAAACGGUUUGAAAGGAAGUGUUUAUAAGAAUUUCUCGCCGUAGAAAAAUUGAUUACAGGUCUGAAAGCAAGUGGUUUCAAAUUGAUGUUAGAAGAAAUAUGCAGAUAAACUUUUGUUUCAACUGAAAUUGUGCAGCUGAUUGGGUGCUAGAACUGGAAGUUAUAAGGAUGGAUAAGAAUUGGAAGUUAUGUUGGUUGUGUUAUUAAAUAGCUUGCCAAGUUUAUUUAUAAAAUUGUAUUAUGAACUUUGUUGCUACAGACUUUUAUGCCACUUAUCAUGAUGCUGCUACUGCCAUUAAUUAUAAUUAUAAAGUUGUAAUGAACUUUA